GUGGCAUUAUGAAAUACCGGUAUGGUUCCAUGAGCUUGCACGUCGGCUCCGACCAACGACCGACGUUCACAAGAUGUUACUGCUAACACCUGGAGUUAGCCGUGAUACGUUAGCAGCAACCUUAGCAGCUUCUUUUGAUGGAUACGUGUUCAACUAAUGGUUUCCGGAAGAGUUCAUAUCUUUAGAUCUUACUUGUGAGAAACGCCGAGGCCUCCUCGGGCCCCUGGACCCUUAUCUUCUUAUCAAGCCUCAUUCAAUUUCCACCGGCUGAAAUGAGCCGUACAGACAAAGGCCUGAAGGCGUCUGCGCAGCUACAAGCGAAGAGGUGUCACCUGAGCUCUAAGAUCACCUGCUGGUCAAACAACGCGGAUGGCACUGUAUCGUGUUAACAAGGUUUGAAUUUUGUUCAUUUCCUUAUGUCUCCAUAUAAACCUCACUGGCAGAGUAACAGCGAGUCGACUUCCAAAAUGUCCCACUCAUUACUCUCGCUUUACCGCCUCCAAAC
Molecule: long non-coding RNA, 505 nt
Organism: Xiphias gladius (swordfish)
Lineage: Eukaryota; Metazoa; Chordata; Actinopteri; Istiophoriformes; Xiphiidae
Exons: 4
Source: RefSeq, a predicted model, not a curated record